Molecule: long non-coding RNA, 5881 nt
Organism: Loxodonta africana (African savanna elephant)
Lineage: Eukaryota; Metazoa; Chordata; Mammalia; Proboscidea; Elephantidae
Exons: 2
Source: RefSeq, a predicted model, not a curated record
CGGGCCGGAGGCGGAGGUCGUGGGGAACCGCGCGCGUUGGCCCAGGGGAUGGGGUGCUGAAGGAGGGCGAGGAGUUGGCAAACUUUCCAGGUGCCCGGUGUGUGUGUGUAUGUGCGCUUAGACGGACAGCAAGCCCCCGUCGUCACUCUGUCAAGCGAACAGUCGCCCCUUUGGCCAGAUGGAGAAGCUUUUUUCGGCGCCCAAGAGGAGAAUCAUAACAGAAACCGCAAGGGCACACGCUGGCUGCGCUAGCGCCACCUGCCGACGAGGACCACGGCCGCCGCUCCGCCCCACCCCCCCACCCCCGACUGCCACCCCCACCUCAGCCCGUGGUGAGGUGGGGGUGAGGUGCGUAUAUAUUCAAGCUGGGGGAGAACGGUAAGGUAGAGAGAGGGCAGUGUUGCCGCUCCCGCGUUGCACGUGUUACCAUGCCCCCAAGAGUUUUCUCGAAGGUUAGAAAAGGAAGGUGUACGAAGCUCAUGCCGUGUACAGACCUCACUGAAGUAUUCCAGGAAACUGUCGUCGUAGAAAGCUUCCAACAGACUGGGUAUCUGAUAAGCCCCUCUCUUUUCAAGAUCCAUUCUGAAAUACUCAGGAAGGGAAGAGUACUAUAUGCUUGUUUGGCUCGAAAACAUCCCAGCAAAGUGUCCACGGGAAGAAGAAACUAGGAAGGCACCAGUUUUAAAUCGGAAGAUGACUAAAGCUUAGGCGACGGGUACUCGGACUCCUCCGUCUUUGUAUAUGUUCGCGAUUCUCUAUGGGGAAAAUGUCAAAAAGCAGGUGACAGACGCUUGUGCAGUUAUCCCGUGAAGACGUACUAGGAAGAGACUCUAAACGCAGGCUGUCCUUGAGAACAGUUUGUUCGUUUAAAAAAAGUAGAAUAAAAAAAAAAGCACGAAAAUGGAAACACCCAAGUUUUAACAGUGCUGGGGUGGGGAGUAGGGCAUGGUGGUUUUUUUUUUUUUUUUAAUCUUUGCACUGUUGUCGUCGUGUUCCAUCCAGUGGGUUGGGACUCGUAGUGACCCUACGGGACAGAGUUGAACUGCCCCAUAGGGUUCCUAAAGAGCAGCCUGUGGAUUCGAACUGCUGUCGUUUUGGUCAGCAGCUGAGCUCUGAACCGCUGAGCCACCAGGGCUCCAUCUUCGCACUAACUCUCCAGUAUGAGAAGCAGUCUAAACGCAGGCCGUCCUUGAGGAAAUUGAAUGAGAUGACGAGAGAGUGCGUCGAAAAGAGGGCGUUGAAAAUUCCAGCCACAGGUAUUUUCCUUCCACAAGCUGUAAAAAGCAUCGCACUGCACGCACCCAACGUUAGGAAGCUGCCUCAAGGGAUGCAAUUUCUUACUCCUUUUAGUUGAGACGGGACAUCUCCAAGUGUGUUCACAACCCAAAGGUCGUCAUAAGGGAAUGACAGCACCCUCAGUCCAUCAAACACACGCCUCCUUGGAGGGGUGAGGAAACUCUCUUCGAUGUCACGAAGACAGUCACGACAGAAACCGGAAGGGCACAUACCAGCAGCGCUAGCCAAAGGUAGUAAUAAAUAUUAGGGGAGAAAAGGGAUUCAUAAUGAGGUCAGAGAAGCAAUGGGUUGAACAAAGGUAAUUUUUUUGUUGUUGUUCUCAGAAUCUGUUACUAGGCAGAGGUAUUAUCACUGCCUUAGUUUUUAGUAGUCCAUUAUAAUCUACAAUCAUUUCAUUAUUUAAAUUUUCCUUAAAUUUGGAGUUUGGCCACAAUGUUAAUCUCUGAAUCAUGAAUGACAGAGCAGUUAUGGCAAAUUGUCCACUCUGAGCAAGACGUACCUCAGAGAUGAAGAUUGCGUGACUCCAGUGGCAUUACAGUGAUUACACUGAUUAUUCACUGAUUUCUAGUGGCUCUCAGUCAUCUACCUACCUAGUUUUUAAAAUGGCUAAUGAUCAUAGUUUUGCUGUAUAUAAAUAUAUAUUAGUAUUUUUUAAAGUGGGAAUCAUGAUCAUUAAGUUGUGAAGACAAUUUUGUAAGCUACAAUGUUUAUAAUAGAAAACAGCAAAGUGCACUGCAAUUAGAAUAGGUAAGUAUUGUUUGAGGGAACUUUUGUUUGUUAUUUUAUCAAAGGCUUUGGAUGCGGUUCAUAGUCACCCAAUUUUAGAGUCUUGAGUUCUGAGAAUACUAUCCACCAAAUCCUGGGAAUCAGACAUGGAAAAAUCUCAAUCAUUUACUGCCUCAACACCUUCUCCAGUUCAUUCUCACUCACCGAACACCAACCAGAGCCACCAUCACUCCUCUGACCAUCCAACUGCAUUCAACGACGCUUUGUCAGGAUUCCACUACUUAAAAGUUGCUUUUAUUUUGCCAAGUGUUAUUUGUAUUUAUUAUGCAUCUAACAUGUUUCACUGUUUACUGUCAUUUUAGUAUCUGUUACCUGAAGUGUAGGAAAACUUAAUUCAUAUUUCAUAUUGUUCAAUAUCACUGCAUAAAGCCCAGAAAAGUAUCGACUAAUUCACUAAUUGUUGGGGUUUGAAAUAUUUUACAUUAUUCAGAAAUACUUCACAGAAGUCAUGUAGGUGGUUUAAGUUGAAUUUGAAUUAUAUUUUGAGAAAUUGGUUAGGGGUUUUUAAUGGCGUGGGAACACAUUUUCUCCAUUUAAAACAAUGGCGAUAUGUUGUUGUGUUCGCUGCUGCCGUGUCACUUCCAACUCAUAGCGACCCUGUGUACAACAGAAGGAAACACUGCUCAGUCCUGCACCAUCUUCACAACCUUUACUAUGUUUGAACCCACCACUGCAGCCACUAGGUCAAUCCAUCUCACUGAGGGUCUUCCUCUUUUUCCAUGACCCUCUACCUUACCAAGCAUGAUGUCUUCCUCCAGGGACUGGUCCCUCCUGGUAACGAUGUCCAAAGUACGUGACAUGAAGUCUUGCCAUCUGCACUUCCAAGGUGCACUCUGGAUGCACUUCCUCCAAGACAGGCUUGUUUGUUCUCCUGGCAGUCCAUAGUAUAUUCCAUAUUCUUUGCUAACACCAUCAUUCAAAGGUAUCAAUUCUUCAGUCUUGCUUAUUCAUUGUCCAGCUUUCACAUACAUAUGAGGUGACUGAAAAUAUCAUGGCUUCUGUCAGAUGCACCUUAGUCCUCAAAAUGACAUCUUUGCUUUUCAACACUUUCAAGACGUCUUUUGCAGCAGAUUUGCCCAAUGGAAUAUGUUGUUUGAUUCCCUGACUGCUGCUUCCGUGGGAGUUGUCAAUCCAAGUAAAAUGGAGUAUAGGAUUGAAAAUGCAGACAUCUGAAAAUCCCCUAUUCAGCAUAUUUUCAGGAAUGGCAUAGGUUCAGAUUAUGAGGAGUACACGUGCCUGAUAAAUUUGGUGUUGAUUGCUUAUUGAAGACAGCAAUAAUUUCUACCCUUUUAAAAACCAACCCAGUGCCGUCGAGUCUUUUAAGUGGUGCUAUUUUGGUUCUCAUUUUGAUAAUUUUUUUUCCUUUAAAUACUAAUCAGAAAAUACGAAUUACAUGACUGAUUUCUGGUUUUGGAAUUUGUUGUACAAAAAUCACCUCUCCUUGAUUUUAUUAAAAACUCAACAAUAAAGUAGUUUCUCCCAGAGAAGAUCCUGUAAAGUAUAUUUUUUCUGGUGCCGCAAAAUUUAUCAACUCUGAAUGAAGGCCUUUGUUAACUUUAUUACAAUCUAAAGGUUUUUAUUACAAGAUGAAUUAACUAGCUUUUGAAAAAGGGAGAUGGUAACAAGAUGCUUACAUCUUUCUACAGCAUUCAUACAAUAUUCCUACCAUUUAACUUCUCUAAUAGCACGUAAUGAUGGCAGUAGUGAUAAUUAAAAUGGAUAGAUACUGUCUAAAUGGUGUUCUAUGCAUUACUUCAUUUAAUCAUGACAAUAGCGUAGCGGAAUUUUACAGAUAAAGAAAAGGAAACACAAAGAGGACAAGUAAUUAAUCCAGUUUUGCAGUUAUAAAGGUGACAGGGAGAUAAUGCUCAAUAAAGGCCAUGCCUCACCAUUACAUUCCAGGCUCAUGAAGAUUUUUCAAGAACGUUCAAGGGUUCCAGAAGUCAUUUCUACAUUCAUUAAUAUGUCCCCCCCCAAAAAAAAACCACGAUGCUGUCGAGUGGAUGCUGACUCGUACUGAUCCUAUAGGACAGAGUACAACCUCCCCAAAGGGCUUCCAAGGCUGUAACCUUUAUGGAAGCAGACUGCCACAUUUUUCUCCUGUGGAGCAGCCAAUGGGUCAAAACGUCAACCUUUUGGUUGGCAGCUGGGCACUCAGAGUGCUUAACCACUGCACCACCAGGGCUCCCAGAAGUUACUAUAGGCUUUCCAAAAAGAGGCAGAUUCCGAGGUGAAGCAAAAGAAUGUCCUACAUUCAUUACUAUCACAAUAUGGGUUCUCUUAAUACACCAGAGCAACUGAAGACAGGUGAAGCCUUAGAAUAAAUCCCAUUCAGUGGCUUUCUUAAUUAUGAAGCCUCAGAUGUUUGGUAAGUUGUGAAUGACGUAUAAAGUCUUUGCCACAUUCAACACAUGCAUAGGGUUUCUCUCCAGUAUGGAUCCUUUGAUGUAGAGUAAGUUCCGAUCCCCGACUGAAGGCCUUCCCACAUUCCUUACAUUCAUAGGGCUUCUCCCCGGUAUGAGUCUUCUGAUGUUCAGUAAGGUGUGAAGCACGAAUAAAGGCCUUCCCACACUGCUUACACUCAUAGGAUUUUUCACCUCUGUGAAGUCUUUGGUGUUCACUAAGUUGGGAGCCAUAAGUAAAGGCCUUGUCACAUUCUUUACAUUGGUAAGGUUUUUCACCUGUAUGAAUUCUCUGAUGAUAAAAGUUGUGUGACACGAAUAAAGGCCUUCCCACAGACCUGACAUUCGUAAUGUUUCUCACCAUGAAUCUUCUGAUGUUGAGUAAGAUAUGCACCACGAAUAAAGGCCUUUCCACAUUCCUUACAUUCAAAGGGUUUCUCACCCGUAUGAAUUCUCUGGUGUUCACUAAGUUGUUUGCAACUAUUAAAGGCCUUUCCACAUCCUUUACAUUUGUAUGGUUUUUCAUUACUAUGGAUCCUCUGGUGUUGAGUGAGAUUAGAAUUACAGAUGAAGGCUUUUCCACAUUCUUUACAUUUAUAGGGUUUCUCACCUGUAUGAACUCUCAGAUGGUAAGUUGUAAGCCACGAAUAAAGGCCUUGCCACACUCCUUACAUUCAUAGGGUUUCUCACCUGUAUGAAUCCUCUGAUGCUCAUUAAGUUGGGACGCGCAUAAAAAAGCCUUCCCACAUUCUUUACAUCUAUAAGGCUUUUCACCAGUAUAAACUCUCUGAUGAUAAGUUAGGUGUGAACCAAGAAUAAAGGCCUUUCCGCAUUCCUUACACUUGAAGGGUUUUUCGCCACUAUGAAUUCUCUGAAGGUAAGUAAGUUGAGAGCUAAGAAUAAAGGCCUUUCCACAGUCUUUACAUUCAUAGGGUUUUUCACCACUAUGAAUUCUCUGAUGAAGCGUAUACUGUGAACUGUAACUAAAGGCUUUUCCACAUUUCUUACAUUCAUAGGGUUUCUCUCCCGUAUGAACUCUCUGGUGUUCCAUGAGCUGUGAGCCACGAAUAAAGGCUUUCCCACAUGCUUUACACUGAUACGGUUUUUCAUUAGUAUGAAUUUUCUGAGGCUGAAUCAGAUCGGAACUAUGACCGAAGGCCUUUCCACAUUCCAUACUCUCAUAUGGUUUCUCACCAGUCUGAAACCUCUGAUGUUGACCACAGCUGGGCUGUUUGCUGAAGGUCUUCCUACACGUCUUCAUUUCAGCAUGUUUUCCAUUAUGAGUUUUCUCAUGCUGCAUAAGGCAUGACGGGUAGCUGAAGGCUUGUCUACACUGCUUACAUUUGUACAUUUUUUCCUCUGUAGAGGAUGUGGAAUGACUUCGAAUGGUCUUUUCU